CAGUAGCCGCGGGAACACAGAGGGUGCGAGCGUUAAUCGGAUUUACUGGGCGUAAAGCGUGCGUAGGCGGCUUUUUAAGUCGGAUGUGAAAUCCCUGAGCUUAACUUAGGAAUUGCAUUCGAUACUGGGAAGCUAGAGUAUGGGAGAGGAUGGUAGAAUUCCAGGUGUAGCGGUGAAAUGCGUAGAGAUCUGGAGGAAUACCGAUGGCGAAGGCAGCCAUCUGGCCUAAUACUGACGCUGAGGUACGAAAGCAUGGGGAGCAAACAGGAUUAGAUACCCGUGUAGUCCUGUCUCUUAUACA
RNAcentral lists this ribosomal RNA (301 nucleotides) under uncultured bacterium. RNAcentral's name for it is "partial 16S ribosomal RNA". It matches the Rfam family "Bacterial small subunit ribosomal RNA", at positions 509 to 809 of the family's 1533-position model. The record is from RNAcentral.